UAUAGAUUGACAGGACAAUAUGGACUUUCGUAUUAUAAUUUGGUUUGCCAAUCAAGACGGACAAAUCAUAAUCAUUGGAGGCAUGUUUCACACUUACUGACUAAAUCAAUAAUUUAUGAAUUGUAAAUUAAUUCUUCAUUUUAUCAUUGUUCUACCGUGCAGGUAUAUAUUUGUAGUUUUAUAGAGUUUAAAUAUUGACAAUUAAUAUUGUAAAUAAUUGUAGUUCUGCUGCAGGACGUCACUGAAAAACACAUGUGAUGUGGGUAUCCUGGAUAAAUAUAAUUAUUAUUUUUUAUUUGUUACAGCAAUUUGGCUGGUCACUCAAGAUACAAUCAUUAACCUACAUCCUGGAAUCAUGAAUGAACUUUAAAUGAAACAUAAUCAAAACCUAGUUUUAGAUUAAAUGAUUUAUAUUAAAUAUUUCUAAAUUUGGAUAAUUAAUCAAGAUAAAAUAAGAAAUAAUUAUAUUAACUGCAUAC
Molecule: non-coding RNA, 479 nt
Organism: Paramuricea clavata
Lineage: Eukaryota; Metazoa; Cnidaria; Anthozoa; Malacalcyonacea; Plexauridae
Source: the annotation of a GenBank genome assembly